Mastomys coucha (southern multimammate mouse) is the source of this 164-nucleotide small nuclear RNA. RefSeq annotates it as U1 spliceosomal RNA. The record is from RefSeq and is a predicted model, not a curated record. Lineage: Eukaryota; Metazoa; Chordata; Mammalia; Rodentia; Muridae. The transcript has a single exon.
AUACUUACCUGGCAGGGAAGAUACCAUGACCACGAAGGUGGUUUUCUCAGGGCGAGGCCUAUCCACUGCACUCCAGGUGGACUGACCCCUGCAAUUUCCCAAAUGUGGGAAAUUCCACUGCAUAAUUUGUGGUAGUGGGGGACCUGUGUUCGCGGUCUCCCCUA